This 253-nucleotide ribosomal RNA is filed under the name uncultured bacterium. RNAcentral describes it as "partial 16S ribosomal RNA". It matches the Rfam family "Bacterial small subunit ribosomal RNA", at positions 524 to 776 of the family's 1533-position model. The record is from RNAcentral.
UACGUAGGUGGCAAGCGUUGUUCGGAAUUACUGGGCGUAAAGGGCUCGUAGGUGGCCAACUAAGUCAGACGUGAAAUCCCUCAGCUUAACUGGGGAACUGCGUCUGAUACUGGAUGGCUUGAGUUUGGGAGAGGGAUGCGGAAUUCCAGGUGUAGCGGUGAAAUGCGUAGAUAUCGGGAGGAACACCGGUGGCGAAGGCGGUUCUCUGGGCCUGUACUGACGCUGAGGAGCGAAAGCGUGGGGAGCGAACAGG